Molecule: ribosomal RNA, 392 nt
Filed under: uncultured organism
Description: bacterial SSU rRNA
Rfam family: Bacterial small subunit ribosomal RNA
Source: RNAcentral
UGCUUAACACAUGCAAGUCGAACGGCAGCACGGUCUAGCUUGCUAGACUGGUGGCGAGUGGCGAACGGGUGAGUAACGCGUAGGAAUAUACCUUAAAGUGGGGGACAACUUGGGGAAACUCAAGCUAAUACCGCAUAAUCUCUUCGGAGAAAAGCUGGGGACCUUCGGGCCUGGCGCUUUAAGAUUAGCCUGCGUACGAUUAGCUAGUUGGUAGGGUAAAGGCCUACCAAGGCGACGAUCGUUAGCUGGUCUGAGAGGAUGACCAGCCACACUGGAACUGAGACACGGUCCAGACUCCUACGGGAGGCAGCAGUGGGGAAUAUUGGACAAUGGGGGCAACCCUGAUCCAGCUAUGCCGCGUGUGUAAAGAAGGCCUGAGGGUUGUAAAGCUC